AUUGAAAUUUUGGCGGGAAAAUAUUCUCUCUUGACUUUUCAUUGCUUUAUCAUUGACAAGUUAAAGUUCUCAAAAACUGUUAAAAAGUAAUUAAAAUUUUAUAAGACUUUUACAGAUGGCUUAUCAUUAUACAUGUUAAAGAAUUUCAAAAAGAAAAAUGGGGGUCACCGGACAAAAUUUGUCAAGGCAUUCAAAUGGAUAAAACCAGAGGAUUCCGAAAAUCUGACAAAAAAUCUAAAACAUGACAAGCCAGCUUCCUUAA
RNAcentral lists this long non-coding RNA (262 nucleotides) under Mytilus galloprovincialis (Mediterranean mussel). The record is from RNAcentral. Lineage: Eukaryota; Metazoa; Mollusca; Bivalvia; Mytilida; Mytilidae.